Molecule: ribosomal RNA, 451 nt
Filed under: uncultured bacterium
Lineage: Bacteria
Description: partial 16S ribosomal RNA
Rfam family: Bacterial small subunit ribosomal RNA
Source: RNAcentral
GUAAGGAAUAUUGGUCAAUGGAGGCAACUCUGAACCAGCCAUGCCGCGUGUGUGAAGAAGGCCUUUUGGUUGUAAAGCACUUUAAGCGAGGAGGAGGCUACCGAGAUUAAUACUCUUGGAUAGUGGACGUUACUCGCAGAAUAAGCACCGGCUAACUCUGUGCCAGCAGCCGCGGUAAUACAGAGGGUGCAAGCGUUAAUCGGAUUUACUGGGCGUAAAGCGCGCGUAGGUGGCCAAUUAAGUCAAAUGUGAAAUCCCCGAGCUUAACUUGGGAAUUGCAUUCGAUACUGGUUGGCUAGAGUAUGGGAGAGGAUGGUAGAAUUCCAGGUGUAGCGGUGAAAUGCGUAGAGAUCUGGAGGAAUACCGAUGGCGAAGGCAGCCAUCUGGCCUAAUACUGACGCUGAGGUACGAAAGCAUGGGGAGCAAACAGGAUUAGAAACCCGAGUAGUCC